AUUGAACGCUGGCGGAAUGCUUUACACAUGCAAGUCGAACGGCAGCACGGGGGCAACCCUGGUGGCGAGUGACGAACGGGUGAGUAAUACAUCGGAACGUGCCCGGUCGUGGGGGAUAACGUAGCGAAAGUUACGCUAAUACCGCAUACGAUCUGAGGAUGAAAGCGGGGGACCUUCGGGCCUCGCGCGAUCGGAGCGGCCGAUGUCAGAUUAGGUAGUUGGUGGGGUAAAGGCCUACCAAGCCGACGAUCUGUAGCUGGUCUGAGAGGACGACCAGCCACACUGGGACUGAGACACGGCCCAGACUCCUACGGGAGGCAGCAGUGGGGAAUUUUGGACAAUGGGCGCAAGCCUGAUCCAGCCAUUCCGCGUGCAGGACGAAGGCCUUCGGGUUGUAAACUGCUUUUGUAUGGAACGAAAAGGCUCUGGCUAAUACCUGGGGCUCAUGACGGUACCGUAAGAAUAAGCACCGGCUAACUACGUG
This 484-nucleotide ribosomal RNA is filed under the name uncultured bacterium. RNAcentral describes it as "partial 16S ribosomal RNA". It matches the Rfam family "Bacterial small subunit ribosomal RNA", at positions 30 to 507 of the family's 1533-position model. The record is from RNAcentral.